This 73-nucleotide transfer RNA is filed under the name Felis catus (domestic cat). It matches the Rfam family "tRNA". From Rfam's summary of the family: Transfer RNA (tRNA) molecules are approximately 80 nucleotides in length. The record is from Rfam by way of RNAcentral. Lineage: Eukaryota; Metazoa; Chordata; Mammalia; Carnivora; Felidae.
GCCAGACUGGCUCAGUUGGGAUAGCAUGUGACUCUUGACCUCAGAGUUGUGAGUUCAAGCCCCAUGUUGGGCA